ACCUAGCUGGCUCAGUCAGUAGAGCACACGACUCUUGAUCUUGAGGUCAUGAAUUCAAGCCCCAUGCUGGGCC
This 73-nucleotide transfer RNA is filed under the name Felis catus (domestic cat). It matches the Rfam family "tRNA". Rfam says of the family: Transfer RNA (tRNA) molecules are approximately 80 nucleotides in length. Their secondary structure includes four short double-helical elements and three loops (D, anti-codon, and T loops). Lineage: Eukaryota; Metazoa; Chordata; Mammalia; Carnivora; Felidae. The record is from Rfam by way of RNAcentral.